UACGUAGGUGGCAAGCGUUGUCCGGAUUUACUGGGCGUAAAGGGCGUGCAGGCGGUCUGUUAAGUCUAGGGUGAAAGCUCCCGGCUCAACUGGGAGAGGUCCUUGGAUACUGGCGGACUUGAGGGAGGCAGAGGAGUAUGGAAUUCCCGGUGUAGUGGUGAUAUGCGUAGAUAUCGGGAGGAACACCAGUGGCGAAGGCGGUACUCUGGGCCUUACCUGACGCUGAGACGCGAAAGCGUGGGGAGCGAACAGG
This 253-nucleotide ribosomal RNA is filed under the name uncultured bacterium. RNAcentral's name for it is "partial 16S ribosomal RNA". It matches the Rfam family "Bacterial small subunit ribosomal RNA", at positions 524 to 776 of the family's 1533-position model. The record is from RNAcentral.